This 301-nucleotide ribosomal RNA is filed under the name uncultured bacterium. RNAcentral describes it as "partial 16S ribosomal RNA". It matches the Rfam family "Bacterial small subunit ribosomal RNA", at positions 509 to 808 of the family's 1533-position model. The record is from RNAcentral.
CAGUAGCCGCGGGAAUACGAAGGUCCCGAGCGUUGUUCGGAAUCACUGGGCGUAAAGGGAGCGUAGGCGGCGUGGUAAGUCAGAUGUGAAAUCCCGGGGCUCAACCCCGGAACUGCAUCCGAUACUGCCGUGCUAGAGGAUUGGAGAGGUAGCUGGAAUUCUUGGUGUAGCAGUGAAAUGCGUGGAGAUCAAGAGGAACACUCGUGGCGAAAGCGAGCUACUGGACAACACUGACGCUGAGGCACGAAAGCGUGGGGAGCAAACAGGAUUAGAUACCCCUGUAGUCCCUGUCUCUUAUACC